UACAGAGGUCCCAAGCGUUGUUCGGAUUCAUUGGGCGUAAAGGGUGCGUAGGCGGCGGGGCAAGUCAGGUGUGAAAUCCCGGGGCUCAACCUUGGAAUUGCACUUGAUACUGCCUUGCUUGAGUACUGGAGAGGGAACUGGAAUUUACGGUGUAGCAGUGAAAUGCGUAGAUAUCGUAAGGAAGACCAGUGGCGAAGGCGAGUUCCUGGACAGUUACUGACGCUGAGGCACGAAGGCUAGGGGAGCAAACGGG
Molecule: ribosomal RNA, 253 nt
Filed under: uncultured bacterium
Lineage: Bacteria
Description: partial 16S ribosomal RNA
Rfam family: Bacterial small subunit ribosomal RNA
Source: RNAcentral